CCUACGGGAGGCAGCAGUGGGGAAUUUUGGACAAUGGGGGCAACCCUGAUCCAGCCAUGCCGCGUGUGCGAAGAAGGCCUUCGGGUUGUAAAGCACUUUCGGACGGAACGAAAUCGCGCGGGUUAACAGCCCGCGUGGAUGACGGUACCGUAAGAAGGAGCACCGGCUAACUACGUGCCAGCAGCCGCGGUAAUACGUAGGGUGCGAGCGUUAAUCGGAAUUACUGGGCGUAAAGCGUGCGCAGGCGGCGCCGCAAGUCGAGUGUGAAAUCCCCGAGCUUAACUUGGGAAUUGCGCUCGAAACUACGGUGCUGGGGUGUGGCAGAGGGAGGUGGAAUUCCACGUGUGGCGGUGAAAUGCGUAGAGAUGUGGAGGAACACCGAUGGCGAAGGCAGCCUCCUGGGCCAACACUGACGCUCAUGCACGAAAGCGUGGGGAGCAAACAGGAUUAGAUACCCUGGUAGUCCACGCCCUAAAUGAUGAUGACUAGUUGUUGGGGGAGUUAAAUCCCUUAGUAACGCAGCUAACGCGUGAAGUCAUCCGCCUGGGGAGUACGGUCGCAAGAUUAAAACUCAAAGGAAUUGACGG
Molecule: ribosomal RNA, 587 nt
Filed under: uncultured bacterium
Lineage: Bacteria
Description: bacterial SSU rRNA
Rfam family: Bacterial small subunit ribosomal RNA
Source: RNAcentral